UCCGGGGUGGUGUAGUCGGUAGCACACCUGGUUUUGGUCCAGGCAGCGGGGGUUCAAGUCCUCCCCCCGGAA
Molecule: transfer RNA, 72 nt
Filed under: Solirubrobacterales bacterium
Lineage: Bacteria; Bacillati; Actinomycetota; Thermoleophilia; Solirubrobacterales
Also listed under: 1 other name
Description: tRNA-Gln
Rfam family: tRNA
About the family: Transfer RNA (tRNA) molecules are approximately 80 nucleotides in length.
Source: RNAcentral